Molecule: long non-coding RNA, 472 nt
Filed under: Androctonus crassicauda
Lineage: Eukaryota; Metazoa; Arthropoda; Arachnida; Scorpiones; Buthidae
Source: RNAcentral
AUGACCUCCUAUAUUAGUCAUCUGGAUGCACUUGACUUUGUCGGACAUCACCGACCUAAGGGCAAUAAUAUCUCCCUUUUAACUGACAUACUCUUGCACUUAUGCUUACCGGAUAUAACAGUUAUCAUUCACAAUAUACCUAAAAUCCUUAUACAAACAAAAAGGUUACAAUAUAUAAAGGAAAGGAAUGUGGGUGGGUCCCCAGGACCUCACACAGGUUUAUUAUUAUACAGGUUCUGUUUGGAAGCAUCAAUGCAGGAAAGGUGUUCAGGAGAGUCAUCCUCGUUGUUACAGUAGGUACAUUUAGGGAAAAUCUUUUUGACCGUUUUUGAAGGAAAUAAGUAGUGCCCCCAGACUUCAGGCGGGAAAUCAUGGUAGCAUUAACUGUAAUAGCAAAAGAAGCAUUAAUUGAACUACAUAUGAGGUAUUAGAUAUUGAUGAAUGUAAAUUCCGGAAACUACGAAAGGUAAAA